Molecule: ribosomal RNA, 253 nt
Filed under: uncultured bacterium
Lineage: Bacteria
Description: partial 16S ribosomal RNA
Rfam family: Bacterial small subunit ribosomal RNA
Source: RNAcentral
UACAGAGGUCUCAAGCGUUGUUCGGAUUCAUUGGGCGUAAAGGGCUCGUAGGCGGUCUGUUGCGUCAGGAGUGAAAACUCGGGGCUUAACCCCGAGCCUGCUUCUGAUACGGGCAGACUAGAGGUAUGCAGGGGAGAACGGAAUUCCUGGUGUAGCGGUGAAAUGCGCAGAUAUCAGGAGGAACACCGGUGGCGAAGGCGGUUCUCUGGGCAUUACCUGACGCUGAGGAGCGAAAGUGUGGGGAGCGAACAGG